RNAcentral lists this small nucleolar RNA (86 nucleotides) under Tupaia belangeri (northern tree shrew). RNAcentral describes it as "Small nucleolar RNA SNORA1 (ENSTBEG00000020474.1)". Lineage: Eukaryota; Metazoa; Chordata; Mammalia; Scandentia; Tupaiidae. The record is from RNAcentral.
AGCUUCAUUCUAGAUGAAAAUGGGCACUGUUGGCUAUAGUGGGCAAAAAUCGUUUAUGUGGCUAAAUACAGACACAGAGUACAGUU